RNAcentral lists this ribosomal RNA (109 nucleotides) under Ailuropoda melanoleuca (giant panda). The record is from RNAcentral. Lineage: Eukaryota; Metazoa; Chordata; Mammalia; Carnivora; Ursidae.
GUCUAUGGCCAUACCACCCUGAACGCGCCCAAUCUCGUCUGAUCUCGGAAGCUAAGCAGGGUCGGGCCUGGUUAGUACUUGGAUGGGAGGCCCAUAGCUGUUGUAAGAU